This 2843-nucleotide ribosomal RNA is filed under the name Candidatus Nealsonbacteria bacterium CG02_land_8_20_14_3_00_34_20. RNAcentral's name for it is "bacterial LSU rRNA". It matches the Rfam family "Bacterial large subunit ribosomal RNA". The record is from RNAcentral. Lineage: Bacteria; Candidatus Nealsoniibacteriota.
ACAUUCGUAAAUUGAAAAUUCCACACAUCGAGCACAGCGAGAUGUGGGGAUGGGGGUUGUAAGAAAAUAACGUUGGGGGUAUUUCUGACUUGUCUUGCCUAUGGCGGGAUGAAAUGGAAAUACUUCUAAGGGAGAAUAUUUAGACGAAGUCUGGUUAGUCGAAAUUCCCUGGAAGGGGAUACCAUAGAUGGUGAUAGUCCAGUAGACGAAAAUCACUUCGUGCUCCUUGUUGUUUCUCUUGAGUACCAUCAGGCCAAGACAACCUGUUGGGAAACAGGCAGGACUAACCUGCCAAAGCUAAAUAUAAUCUGGUCACCGAUAGUGAACAAGUACCGUGAGGGAAAGGUGAAAAGUAGCCCAGUGAGGGCGGUGAAAUAGAACCUGAAACCAUUUGCCUACAAAGACUCAGAGCCGUCCUUCGCUCCUUGCUCCGCAAGGAGCUUCGGAACGAUAAACUCCAAAGAAUAUUGGGGCUUGCCAUUCCGUAGCUCUUUAUGAAGUAAAGAGCGAAGGAUGGUGAUGGGGUGCUUUUUGCAUAACGAGCCAACGAGUUUAUUUCUUCCUCAAGUCUAAAAGGUUUUACCUUGUAGGCAAAGUGAAAGCAAGGGUGAAAAGCCCGUAAGAGAAAGGAGUAAAACCCGAAGCCAAGCGAGCUUGCCAUGGCCAGGAUGAAUUCCGCCGAAAGGCGUAAGAAGGUCCGAACCCGUGAGUCGUGCAAUACUCUGGGAUGAGCUGUGGUAAGAAGUGAAAAGCUAAUCGAGCUUGGUAAUAGCUGGUUCUUCCCGAAAUAGUUUUGGGACUAGCCCUUCUGUUAGAUGCUGGGGGUAGAGCACUGGAAAGAAUAUCGUGGAUUUUUUCUAGAUAUUCUUACCAAACUCCGAAUACCAGCAAAAUAUACAGGAGGAGUCAGACUGUAGGGGCUAAGCUCUAUAGUCAAAAGGGGAACAGCCCAGAUCUUCAUCUAAGGUCCCUAAAUCUGAGCUAAGUGUUUUAUAAGGAAGUGGAAUUUCUUAGAUAGCUAGGAGGUUAGCUUAGAAGCAGCUAUCCUUUAAAAAGUGCGUAAUAGCUUACUAGCUAAGGAGUUCUGCGCCGAAGAUUUCCGGGACUCAAGCUCAGUACCGAAGAUAAGAUUGAGCGCAUAAAUUUUAUGUGCUCAAGGUAGGGAAGCGUCCCUAUUAGCAUUGAAGUUGAAUCGUAAGGUUCAGUGGAGCAAUAGGGAGUGAGAAUGUUGGCAUAAGUAAUCACAAUCCCGGUGAGAUACCGGGACACCGAAAACCCAAGGUUUCCUUGGCAAUGAAUAUCAGCCAAGGGUUAGGCGGUCCUUAGGGAAAGCCGAAAGGUGUACUUGAUGGAUAGCCGGUUAAUAUUCCGGCCCUUCAGCAUUUUUCUGAAGAGUGACGCAAUUUAGUAGCUUAGGCGAAUAAUUGGAUUUUCGUCUCUUGUUUAAUGGUCUUUUUUAAAAGAUCAAAGAGCAGGAGGGAAGCUUAUCUUCGGAUAGGCGAACCUAAGUGAGCAAGUUGCCCAGAAAAACUCUUAGGGUUAAAAGUGCUGGAUCCGUACCGUAAACCGACACAGGUGGGUUGGUGUAAUAGUACCAAGGUGAAUAGGUGAAAGCUCCUGAAGGAACUCGGCAAAAAAGUGGUCGUAACUUCGGGAUAAGAUCUGACGUCAAAAUUUUUGCGCAAGCAAAAAUUUAGGCGCCCGCAGCGAAAAUUUCUCUAGCGACUGUUUAUCAAAAACACAGGUCCCUGCUAACUCGUAAGAGGAUAUAUAGGGGCUGAGGCCUGACCAGUGCCGGAGUGUUAAUGUUGCCGGUCCAAGUACAUAAUUUAUUAUGUGCUCGGGCUGAGUGACUGAAGCCUCUGGUGAACGUCCGCGGUAACUCUGACCGUGUUAAAGUAGCGUAAUCCCUUGCCACGUAAGUUGUGGCCCGCAUGAAUGGCUUAACGACUAGAGAACUGUCUCCAGGAGCUGCCUGAUGAAAUCGCAAUAGGGGUGAAAAUGCCCUUUACCUGCGGCUAGACGGAAAGACCCCGGGAGCUUUACUAUAACCAAAUAUUGAAUUUUGGUGAUGAAUGCGUAGCGUAGGUGGGAGACUAUGAAAUCUGUCUUUCGGGAUGGAUGGAGUCGCCAAUGAAACACCACCCUUUUAUUGCCUUGGUUCUAAUCCCGCCUUUGGCGGGAAACAGUGUUUGGCGGGUAGUUUAAGUGGGGCGCUUUUCUCCUAAAAAGUAACGGAGAAGUCUAUAAGGUCGGCUAGCUCCGGAUGGAAAUCGGAGUGGUCCUGCAAAGGGAUAAGCCGGCUUAACUGCAAGGCGGAUAUGCCGCGCAGAUGGGAAACCAGAGCUUAGUGAACCGACCGUGGUUAGUAGAACUGCGGAGGAUAAUCAGCUAAAAGCUACCCCGGGGAUAACAGGCUAGUAGGGCCCGCGAGUCCAUAUCAACGGCUCUGUUCGGCACCUCGAUGUCGGCUCACCACAUCCUGGAGGUGAAGAAGCUUCCAAGGGUUUGGCUGUUCGCCAAUUAAAGUGGUUCGCGAGCUGGGUUCAAACCGUCGUGAGACAGGUUGGUCCCUAUCUACCGCAGGCGUUGAGUCUUGAGGAGAGUUGUCCCUAGUACGAGAGGACCGGGAUGAACUAACCUCUGGUUUACCAGUUGUCCUGCCCAGGGCAUUGCUGGGUAGCUAAGUUAGGAAAGGAUAAGAGCUGAAAGCAUAUAAAGCUCGAAGCCUACUCCAAGAUUAAGACUCUUACCUAGGUCAGAGACUAUGACCUUGAUAGGGUGCAGGUGUAAGUCCCGUAAGGGAUUGAGCCGAGCACUACUAAAUUAGGAUUUCUUUUGGC